GGUUAACGCUGGCGGCGUGCCUAACACAUGCAAGUCGAACGGUUCUAAGCGCGAGCUUAGGAUAGUGGCGAACGGGUGAGUAAAAGGUAGGAAUCUACCCCUUGGACGGAGAUAGCUACUGGAAACGGUAGGUAAACUUCGAUAAGCCCGAGAGGGGAAAGUGGUGAGACAGCCGAGGGAUGAGCCUACUCUCCAUCAGGUAGUUGGUGAGAUAAAAGCUUACCAAGCCGAUGACGGAUAACCGGUGUGAGAGCAUGAACGGUCACAAGGGCACUGAGAGACGGGCCCUACUCCUACGGGAGGCAGCAGUGGGGAAUAUUGCGCAAUGGGGGAAACCCUGACGCAGCGACGCCGCGUGAGCGAAGAAGGCCUUAGGGUUGUAAAGCUCUGUUCUAUGGGACGAAGUCCUUGACUGUGAAUAAUGGUCAAGGUUGACGGUACCAUAGGAGGAAGCCCCGGCUAACUACGUG
This 470-nucleotide ribosomal RNA is filed under the name uncultured bacterium. Its description in RNAcentral is "bacterial SSU rRNA". It matches the Rfam family "Bacterial small subunit ribosomal RNA", at positions 28 to 507 of the family's 1533-position model. The record is from RNAcentral.